GCCGGCGUAGCUCAGGGGCAGAGCAGCUGUCUUGUAAACAGCAGGUCGUCGGUUCGAAUCCGACCGCCGGCU
RNAcentral lists this transfer RNA (72 nucleotides) under Gaiellaceae bacterium. RNAcentral describes it as "tRNA-Thr". It matches the Rfam family "tRNA". Rfam says of the family: Transfer RNA (tRNA) molecules are approximately 80 nucleotides in length. Their secondary structure includes four short double-helical elements and three loops (D, anti-codon, and T loops). RNAcentral also lists the same sequence under 2 other names. The record is from RNAcentral. Lineage: Bacteria; Bacillati; Actinomycetota; Thermoleophilia; Gaiellales; Gaiellaceae.